GUCAUGAGCAGAAUAAUAAAGUAUGGCCAGCAGAAUAUACUGAGAAGACUGUCAGCUCUACAGAAGAGCCGCAAGUAAAGGAGAAACUUAAUGAUCCCCCAAAGACCUCAAACAGAUUCUUCUCAGUGAUCAGGCGUUUUUUCAAACGUCUUACUCGGAAGAAGAAAGUCUCAGGAGGAAAAAAAGAGAACAAAGAAUCUGACAGCAUUGC
Trichomycterus rosablanca is the source of this 211-nucleotide long non-coding RNA. RefSeq lists it as uncharacterized. The record is from RefSeq and is a predicted model, not a curated record. NCBI's taxonomy places the organism in Eukaryota, Metazoa, Chordata, Actinopteri, Siluriformes, Trichomycteridae. The transcript has 3 exons.